Long non-coding RNA from Triticum aestivum (bread wheat), 600 nucleotides. RefSeq lists it as uncharacterized. The record is from RefSeq and is a predicted model, not a curated record. The transcript has 2 exons. Lineage: Eukaryota; Viridiplantae; Streptophyta; Magnoliopsida; Poales; Poaceae.
UCCACGGCCACCACGGCUCGAUGGCCGCCACGCAUGCGAUAGUGCCACCCCUCGGCCUAUAAGUGCGUCCCCCGAAAACCCUAGAUCGAGCUCUUUCAUUCCCCCUUGUUCCCCCUUCGCCCCCUUCCUCUGCUGCUCGAAUUUGAGCUCGAAAGAAACUGCGAUCACCGCUGCCACACCGUCGUUGUCACGGCCACCGACGUCUUCGACGUUCGGGAGCACAUCCGGGAGGUCCGCCGUCGCCGGAUUCGUUCGUCCGGGCGACCAGCUCAAGUCGGGACGCCCUCGAGCCGACGUCGUCUUCAUCUUCUUCGUCUGGUCGUCACAACCUCGCCGUUGUUGCGUUUGCUUCGGCGCCUCCCUGACCUCCCCGACCUCACCACCGAACUCAUUAUGACGGAUACCAGGAACCAGACGACACCACUGAUGACUACUGCUACCCCGAGGAUUCCUACUACUACGUGACGGCUGCUGACGACUUGGAGUAGUUAGGAGGAUCCCAGGCAGGAGGCCUUGCCUUUUCGAUCGUUGUUGCUUUUGUGCUAGCCUUCUUAAGGCAGACUUGUCUAACUUAUGUCUAUACUCAGAUAUUGUUGCUUC